RNAcentral lists this ribosomal RNA (427 nucleotides) under Cellulosimicrobium cellulans. RNAcentral describes it as "bacterial SSU rRNA". It matches the Rfam family "Bacterial small subunit ribosomal RNA", at positions 28 to 456 of the family's 1533-position model. The record is from RNAcentral. Lineage: Bacteria; Bacillati; Actinomycetota; Actinomycetes; Micrococcales; Promicromonosporaceae.
GACGAACGCUGGCGGCGUGCUUAACACAUGCAAGUCGAACGAUGAUGCCCAGCUUGCUGGGCGGAUUAGUGGCGAACGGGUGAGUAACACGUGAGUAACCUGCCCUUGACUUCGGGAUAACUCCGGGAAACCGGGGCUAAUACCGGAUAUGAGCCGCCUUCGCAUGGGGGUGGUUGGAAAGUUUUUCGGUCAGGGAUGGGCUCGCGGCCUAUCAGCUUGUUGGUGGGGUGAUGGCCUACCAAGGCGACGACGGGUAGCCGGCCUGAGAGGGCGACCGGCCACACUGGGACUGAGACACGGCCCAGACUCCUACGGGAGGCAGCAGUGGGGAAUAUUGCACAAUGGGCGAAAGCCUGAUGCAGCGACGCCGCGUGAGGGAUGAAGGCCUUCGGGUUGUAAACCUCUUUCAGCAGGGAAAGAAAGCGCA